CAGUAGCCGCGGUAAUACAGAGGGUGCAAGCGUUAAUCGGAUUUACUGGGCGUAAAGCGUGCGUAGGCGGUUCGUUAAGUCUGUUGUGAAAGCCCCGGGCUCAACCUGGGAAUGGCAAUGGAUACUGGCGAGCUAGAGUGUGUCAGAGGAUGGUGGAAUUCCCGGUGUAGCGGUGAAAUGCGUAGAGAUCGGGAGGAACAUCAGUGGCGAAGGCGGCCAUCUGGGACAACACUGACGCUGAGGCACGAAAGCGUGGGGAGCAAACAGGAUUAGAUACCCGAGUAGUCCCUGUCUCUUAUAA
Molecule: ribosomal RNA, 301 nt
Filed under: uncultured bacterium
Lineage: Bacteria
Description: partial 16S ribosomal RNA
Rfam family: Bacterial small subunit ribosomal RNA
Source: RNAcentral